UACGUAGGGUGCAAGCGUUGUCCGGAAUUAUUGGGCGUAAAGAGCUCGUAGGCGGUGUGUCGCGUCGGCCGUGAAAACCUGCAGCUUAACUGUGGGCUUGCGGUCGAUACGGGCAUCACUGGAGUUCGGCAGGGGAGACUGGAAUUCCUGGUGUAGCGGUGGAAUGCGCAGAUAUCAGGAGGAACACCGGUGGCGAAGGCGGGUCUCUGGGCCGUUACUGACGCUGGAGGAAGCGAAAGCGUGGGGAGCGAACGG
Molecule: ribosomal RNA, 255 nt
Filed under: uncultured bacterium
Lineage: Bacteria
Description: partial 16S ribosomal RNA
Rfam family: Bacterial small subunit ribosomal RNA
Source: RNAcentral